This 524-nucleotide long non-coding RNA is filed under the name Homo sapiens (human). Its description in RNAcentral is "non-protein coding lnc-TINCR-1:6". The record is from RNAcentral. Lineage: Eukaryota; Metazoa; Chordata; Mammalia; Primates; Hominidae.
AGAGCUGGAGCCGGAGCCGGGCGGGCGCCAUGGAGGGGCUGCGGCGGGGGCUGUCGCGCUGGAAGCGCUACCACAUCAAGGUGCACCUGGCGGACGAGGCGCUGCUGCUACCGCUGACCGUGCGGCCGCGGGACACGCUCAGCGACCUGCGCGCCCAGCUGGUGGGCCAGGGCGUGAGCUCCUGGAAGCGCGCCUUCUACUACAACGCGCGGCGGCUGGACGACCACCAGACGGUGCGCGACGCGCGCCUGCAGGACGGCUCGGUGCUGCUGCUCGUCAGCGACCCCAGGUAGUCUGGGUUGGAGGAGGCAGAGCCAUGACCAAGGGGACCUGGGUACUGGCUGAAGGAAUAGGCUGGGGUAGAGGGCACUUUUGGAAGGCACUUCUCCUGCCUCCCGGGAGCCUAGAUCUCACUCCAGGUGGCAGAAAACAGCCAAGUUCCAAGAGAAUCGCUUGAACCCAGGAGUCAGAGGUUACAGUGAGCCGAAAUCACGCCAUUGCACUCCAGCCUGGCGACAGAGCAG